ACAGUAUGUAAAUACUCGUAUCUUUAUUUUUCAACAGUGCUCCUUUGAUAGGAAUAACCUAUUUAGCUUGUAUCCCUAUCCCAAUUGUUGGAAGGCACCAAGCAACAAUUUAGAUUAACCCUUACGGUCGAUAUGGCAGAAUUUAUCUUGAAGAAUUUGAGAACUGGUAACAUACACUGCAACAGUAUGUCUUUUGAUGACUCUACUGGGUGAUGCUUCAGGUAUCAAAGAUGACGGCUUCAGAAAUGUCUGGAGCGAAGAAAUGAAAGUAUUCAGGUGAAUAUAUCAAGUAUGGCUUCACUGUCACAGAGAGGAAUAGAAUUCAUCUCCCUCAGUGUGUCAUAUGCCAUGCAGUCCUCAGCAAUGACGCCUUAAGACCUGGUCGUCUGGAGCGACAUUUGAGCACAAACCACAAAGCAUUAAAAGAAAAGCCAAAGGAGUUCUUCACAGCCAAACUGCAUGAGCUGAAUCAUAUGAAGCUGGACUCAAGCAGUGUUUUUCAUCAAGAAGCGUGGAAACUGGUGGAAGCAUCUUAUGAGCUGUCACUACUUAUUGCAAAAGCAAAGAAGCCUCACUCUGUGGGUGAGACUUGUAAAACCCUGCCUUUUGAGUGCUGCAAAUACUGUGCUUGGGGAAGAAAGCCAAAGAAAGUUAUCAAAGAUUUCCUUAUCACAAACAUCAUUGCACCUUCUGAUGUAAUUAGAGCUUUCACCGAAAAAAUUAAUCUUUGGAAACGAAAAGUACAAGUUGGGAACUUUUCAUCGUUCUCACAUCUGAAUGAGCUCUUAUCUGAGACGAGAAAACUUGAGGAGUUUAUGCACUUACUGAGGAGUUUAUGCACUAUUUUCCAGAUGUCACAAUGGAGAAUUCUCUUUGGACAUUGGUGCAGAAUCCAUUUAACACUGAUGUGGAGUUGUUACUGGAAUCAUUGCAAGAGGAAGCCAUCGAUUUGAAAUGUGACUCGAGCGGGAAAAGGGACUUUGAAACAAUGAAGUUAGAAGAGUUUUGGGUGAAAUAUCUCUCCAUGUACCCAAAAGUAGGUGAAGAGCAACUUCGUGUGAUUCAUCCCUUUUCUUCUACUUAUCUUUGUGAAGCAGGGUUUUCAGCUCUUGUUGUCCUGAAAACAAAACAGCGCACUGACUUGAUGUAGAAAAUGACUUGCGUUGUGCGCUGUCAUCCUUCAAUCCUAGAAUUUCUAAUCUUUAGUUCAUAAAUUAGUUCAUAAAUUGUGCCUUAGUCUCAUGAGUCUUUCCAAAUAUUAUAAGCCAUGUUUUCAAAUCAUCUAUUCUUAAAAUUGCAAGUCAAUUUUGCCAAUUUGUCAAUGUUCAAACUUUUUUUUCGCUUCCUUUGAACCAAAUGUUUUGUUUUUAGUUACUUAGAAAAAUGUCUCUGGAAUGUACUAUUAUUUGUUUGAGUGGCUUUAAUUAUUAAAAUUUAAUACAAACAGA
Long non-coding RNA from Macrobrachium nipponense, 1448 nucleotides. RefSeq lists it as uncharacterized. The transcript is spliced from 3 exons. Lineage: Eukaryota; Metazoa; Arthropoda; Malacostraca; Decapoda; Palaemonidae. The record is from RefSeq and is a predicted model, not a curated record.